CCAAAGGCUCUUUUCAGAGCCCCCCCUACCGUUUCAAAGGAAGAG
Molecule: non-coding RNA, 45 nt
Organism: Callithrix jacchus (white-tufted-ear marmoset)
Lineage: Eukaryota; Metazoa; Chordata; Mammalia; Primates; Cebidae
Source: Rfam